This 481-nucleotide ribosomal RNA is filed under the name uncultured bacterium. Its description in RNAcentral is "bacterial SSU rRNA". It matches the Rfam family "Bacterial small subunit ribosomal RNA", at positions 28 to 523 of the family's 1533-position model. The record is from RNAcentral.
GACGAACGCUGGCGGCGUGCUUAACACAUGCAAGUCGAACGGUGACGAGGAGCUUGCUCCUCUGAUCAGUGGCGAACGGGUGAGUAACACGUGAGCAACCUGCCCCAGACUCUGGGAUAACAGUUGGAAACAGCUGCUAAUACCGGAUACGAGACGGAGAGGCAUCUCUACCGUCUGGAAAGUUUUUCGGCUGGGAUGGACUCGCGGCCUAUCAGCUAGUUGGUGAGGUAAUGGCUCACCAAGGCGACGACGGGUAGCCGGCCUGAGAGGGCGACCGGCCACACUGGGACUGAGACACGGCCCAGACUCCUACGGGAGGCAGCAGUGGGGAAUAUUGCACAAUGGGCGAAAGCCUGAUGCAGCGACGCCGCGUGAGGGAUGACGGCCUUCGGGUUGUAAACCUCUUUCAGCAGGGAGAAGCGAAAGUGACGGUACCUGCAGAAGAAGCACCGGCUAACUAACGUGCCAGCAGCCGCGUAAG